RNAcentral lists this small RNA (1381 nucleotides) under Mytilus galloprovincialis (Mediterranean mussel). Lineage: Eukaryota; Metazoa; Mollusca; Bivalvia; Mytilida; Mytilidae. The record is from RNAcentral.
AUGAGUAUACUACUGUACGCAGAUGACAUCGUAUUACUUGCGCCGAAUGAACCCUGUUUACAGAAAAUGCUUGAUAUUGUAACGGAAUGGUGUGAAGCCUGGAAAUUGUCGAUAAACGAUAGUAAGACGAAUAUAGUUCACUUCCGACCACCUUCAAUAGACAUUUCGCAAAGUACGUUUACAUAUGGUGGACAUACUUUACUUUUUACCGACUCAUACAAACACCUUGGUGUGUGGUUUGAUGAACACUUAACAUUCCAGAAAAAUGCAAAAGAACUAUCUAAAGCCGCCAGUCGUGCUCUUGGUGCAGUAUGUGGAAAAGUUAUACGAGCUGGAGGUAUGACCCAUUCUGUAUUUACUAAAUUAUACAACACAAUGGUAGAACCAGUUCUAUACGGAAGUGGUGUUUGGGGAUAUAAGGACUAUAGUUGCAUCUCAUCCGUCCAAACUCGAGCAUGUAAAUUCUUUCUGAAUGUUGGAAAACACAUUUCAAAUCUAUCUACAAGAGGUUACAUGGGUUGGACAUCAUGUAAAAUUAAACUGCAGAAAUCGUGUCUUCGGCUAUUGUGCAAACUUCGCAGACUUGAAAACAAUCGACUCCCAAGUAAAGUUUGGCGUUGGGCGGCACGAUGACGAAAAGGUUGGACAUUCGAGAUCAACAAACUUGUGACUAAACUUGAUGUAUGUGGUCUUAUAAGGGACACAUCUGUAUCCACAAAAUACGUUAUGAAAAUAAUUAAUGAAAAGCUAGAACAAUUGGACAAUCAUCACUGGUGUCAAGACAUUUUCAACGACCGUGGUACAUUAAACGGAAACAAACUCCGUACAUACAGACUAUACAAACAAACAGUAAACGUUGAGUCAUAUGUAAAAAUGAACAUUCCACUUAGUCAAAAGAGAUAUAUAUGGCUAUGUUUCGAGCCGGCUCGUUACCUCUGGCCUUGGAGACGGGCCGCUACUCCAGGUCGCAAGUUCCAAUUGAAGAUAGACUGUGUAUAUAUUGCGAUCUCGGACAUGUAGAGACCGAGAAACAUUUUCUGAUGGAGUGCCCUUUAUAUGCAGAUACGAUAUGAUUUAUUUUGUGAAUGUAAUUAUUUAAUUGAGAAUUUUGAAACAAUGCAUAUGGAUGAUAAGUUUAUAUUUAUAAUGAGAUCCGAGCAAAUUCAGAAAUGUCUAUGUAAAAUUUGCAGAAAUGUUUUAUGAGAAGGAAAUUAAUUUACAUUUGAUUGAAGAAGUACAUUUUUAUUUUGAUAGCCUAGUUUUUUGUCUAAGUUUUAAACAUUAAGCAUAUUUGUUUUUCUCAAAUCUUUAAAAUAAGGUAUUUUUAUUUAUUGAGAUUAAUAUUUUUAUUAUAUUUAUUUCUAUUUUAGAAGACAAUUGA